CCUACGGGCGGCAGCAGUGGGGAAUAUUGCGCAAUGGGCGAAAGCCUGACGCAGCGAUGCCGCGUGCGGGAUGAAGGUCCUCGGAUCGUAAACCUCUGUCAGCAGGGAAGAACGGUCACUGUGCUAAUCAGUAGUGAAUUGACGGCACCUGCAAAGGAAGCAUCGGUUAACUCCGUGCCAGCAGCCGCGGCAAUACGGAGGGUGCGAGCGUUAAUCGGAAUUAUUGGGCGUAAAGCGCUCGUAGGCGGUAUGUCAAGUCUAGGGUGAAGUGCCCGAGCUCAACGUGGGAACUGCCUUGGAAACUGGCAAGCUGGAGUGUGUGAGAGGAUAGUGGAAUUCCAGGUGUAGGAGUGAAAUCCGUAGAUAUCUGGAGGAACAUCAGUGGCGAAGGCGACUAUCUGGCACAUAACUGACGCUGAGGAGCGAAGGCGUGGGUAGCAAACAGGAUUAGAUACCCUUGUAGUC
Molecule: ribosomal RNA, 465 nt
Filed under: uncultured bacterium
Lineage: Bacteria
Description: partial 16S ribosomal RNA
Rfam family: Bacterial small subunit ribosomal RNA
Source: RNAcentral